Bradysia coprophila is the source of this 2174-nucleotide unclassified non-coding RNA. NCBI's taxonomy places the organism in Eukaryota, Metazoa, Arthropoda, Insecta, Diptera, Sciaridae. The record is from RefSeq and is a predicted model, not a curated record.
CAUUUCUUUUCGUCGUUCAUUCAUUUUGGAGCAUUCGCUGUGCGUGGUUUAAAAAACGAGUGUGUUAAAUUUAAUUAACUAAAAAAAAGAUAAUUUUGUGAAAUCAAGUCCAAACAACAAAAUACAAUGGCUAAUAAUCAAGAUUUGGAUAUGAAUGGUGAAGAUUUUUCACAAGACGUGCGAGAUGAUCAAAUGAAUGGUGAAAAUGGUGAUGGACAUAAUGUUGAAAAUGGAAAUCAUGGAGAAGGACCCGGACGAGAUGAUGACAGGUGAAAGCAAACAUGUGUCAUUGAACCCUUCUGUGAGAGGAUGCUGGCUGCUAAGCUUUGGGCCAAUGGCUGUCUGUAAACAACCGAGACAAGACGAUGGAAAUUAUUCGUUGGUGGACUGAGCUGGGAAACAACAGAAAAGGAACUCCGUGAACAUUUCGGUCAAUAUGGUGAUAUUGAAAGUAUCAAUGUGAAAACCGAUCCUCAAACCGGCCGAUCACGUGGAUUUGCGUUCAUCGUUUAUGCCGCCGCCGAUUCAAUCGAUCGUGUCAGCGCAGCUGAAGAGCAUGUGAUCAACAACAAAAAAGUCGAUCCGAAAAAAGCGAAAGCUCGUCAUGGCAAAAUCUUCGUUGGUGGAUUGACUACAGACAUUAGUGACGAUGAGAUCAAAACGUUCUUCGGACAAUUCGGCAAUAUCGUUGAGGUUGAAUUGCCAUUCGACAAGCAAAAGAACCAACGCAAAGGAUUCUGUUUUAUUACAUUCGAUUCGGAACAAGUGGUGAACGAAUUGUUGAAGACUCCGAAACAGACUAUUUCCGGCAAAGAGGUAGAUGUUAAGAAAGCAACACCGAAGCCCGACAACAUGCCAAUGAGUAUGGUGCGCGGAGGACCCCGCGGACGUGGUGGACGAGGCGGCAGUGGUCGAGGCGGAUACAAUCAGAACUGGGGUAGCCAAGGAGGCUAUGGUUACGGACAAGGGUAUGCCGGUUACGGUGGUUAUGAUAGUUAUGGAAAUGGUGGUUAUGAUUACUAUGGAGGUUACGGAUACGGAAAUUAUGACUACGCCAAUUAUGGAAACUAUGGUGGCAACUACGCACAGGGCGGUAAAUCACGUGGUGGUGGACGACAACCAAGACAUCAACCGUAUUAAAUCUCAACAAACUCAGCACUACAGUUCAUAAGAAAAAGUCAAUUUUUUUUCUUUACUAAAAAUAGUUUGUGUGUGAAUCGUACAUCGACUUUCAUAAUUUAAACAAAAGAUAAUUCAAUAUACGUUCAAUCAUUGUCAGAAACAGAGUAACAAUAACAAUUGUUUCUCACCCACCCGCGUCAACCACAAAAUCAUUCCAUGUGUCUACUGUAAAAACUCAUUGCAAAAACCACCAGCAACAUUAACCACACAACAUAAAAUGUAAUCGGAAUAUACAACCAAAAAAAAAAUUGUAACAAAAAAUUGAAAGGAAAAACAAUCAACAAAACCUAAUAUUCAACCAACACAAAAUACAGUAAACUGGAAACGAUUUUUUUUUUUUUUUGAACGAAAGAAAAUACGUCUUACAAGUUCGACAUCAUCACUACUUUCUAUGAAAGUAGAAAUUAUUAAACAAAAAAAUAAAGAAGAGAAACCAAUAAAAAAAACAAGAUUCGUCCCUCCAUCAUGAUCAACGUGUACCAUCUAUUAAUUAAUAAUGUAUUUUUAAAGGAAAUUAUACAUAAGAAUGCAAGAAAAAAUAAAAGAAAACAUUAACAUCAAAAUCCAACAUAAAAAACAAGUUUCAAUUUUUUUCCAAUAAAUUUUUGAACAAAACUUUCCAUUGAGUUUAUUUUCUGUUCGUGGGACUUGAAAAUUUGAUUUUUUUUUUAAGCAAAAACAAAUGAUUGCAACAAAAGUAGAUACACACACCGUUACACGUCAUAAAAGGAACUUAUAUAAAAAACGAAAAAUAAUUAAAAUUCUUCAUCGUGCGCCCCCGCCCUUCCUCCCCCUCAAACAAAAAACCAAAACUAAAAAAGUGGUGGAUGUGGUGGUAAAAAAAAAUAUUUAGAAAGCGAAAAUACAAAAUAAAAACUGGGAAAUAAUAAGCGAAAAGAGUAAAGUAUUGAAUUUGUUGAUGUGAAAGAGAACGAAGUUUGAAUGCGAAUGAUGUUUGUACAAAGAAUAAAAAUAAUUUAAAAAUAAGAAAA